Molecule: ribosomal RNA, 384 nt
Filed under: uncultured eukaryote
Lineage: Eukaryota
Description: SSU rRNA
Rfam family: Eukaryotic small subunit ribosomal RNA
Source: RNAcentral
AGCUCCAAUAGCGUAUAUUAAAGUUGUUGCAGUUAAAAAGCUCGUAGUUGGAUUUCUGGCAGAGGCAACCGGUCAUACACACUGUGUGUGAACUUGUGUUGUCUUUGGCCAUCCUUGGGGAGAUCCUGUUUGGCAUUAAGUUGUCGGGCAGGGGAUACCCAUCGUUUACUAUGAAAAAAAUAGAGUGUUUAAAGCAGGCUUAUGUCGUUGAAUAUAUUAGCAUGAAAUAAUAAGAUAGGACUUCGGAACUAUUUUGUUGGUUUGCGUUACGAAGUAAUGAUUAAUAGGGACAGUUAGGGGUAUUCGUAUUUUGUUGUCAGAGGUGAAAUUCUUGGAUUUCCGAAAGACGAACUACUGCAAAAGCAUUUACCAAGGAUGUUUUCA